UGCGUAGGCGGACUAGUAAGUCAGUGGUGAAAUCUUUCGGCUCAACCGAGAAACUGCCAUUGAUACUGUUAGUCUUGAGUUCGGUAGAGGUAGGCGGAAUGUGUAAUGUAGCGGUGAAAUGCUUAGAUAUUACACAGAACACCAAUUGCGUAGGCAGCUUACUAUACCGACACUGACGCUGAGGCACGAAAGCGUGGGGAGCGAACAGGAUUAGAUACCCUGGUAGUCC
Molecule: ribosomal RNA, 229 nt
Filed under: uncultured bacterium
Lineage: Bacteria
Description: partial 16S ribosomal RNA
Rfam family: Bacterial small subunit ribosomal RNA
Source: RNAcentral